RNAcentral lists this ribosomal RNA (808 nucleotides) under uncultured bacterium. Its description in RNAcentral is "bacterial SSU rRNA". It matches the Rfam family "Bacterial small subunit ribosomal RNA", at positions 1 to 810 of the family's 1533-position model. The record is from RNAcentral.
UUCUGGUUAGAUCCCCUUGAGUUGAUCUGGCUCAGAUUGAACGCUGGCAGCAUGCCUUACACAUGCAAGUCGAGCGGCAGCGCGGGGGCAACCCUGGCGGCGAGCGGCGAACGGGUGAGUAAUGCAUCGGAACGUGUCCUCUUGUGGGGGAUAACCAGUCGAAAGACUGGCUAAUACCGCAUGAGAUCGAGAGAUGAAAGCAGGGGACCGCAAGGCCUUGCGCGAGAGGAGCGGCCGAUGCCGGAUUAGCUAGUUGGUGGGGUAAAAGCCUACCAAGGCGACGAUCCGUAGCUGGUCUGAGAGGACGACCAGCCACACUGGGACUGAGACACGGCCCAGACUCCUACGGGAGGCAGCAGUGGGGAAUUUUGGACAAUGGGGGCAACCCUGAUCCAGCCAUGCCGUGUGUGUGAAGAAGGCCUUCGGGUUGUAAAGCACUUUCGGCCGGAACGAAAUCGCGCGAGUUAACACCCCGCGUGGAUGACGGUACCGGAAGAAGAAGCACCGGCUAACUACGUGCCAGCAGCCGCGGUAAUACGUAGGGUGCGAGCGUUAAUCGGAAUUACUGGGCGUAAAGUGUGCGCAGGUGGCCGCGCAUGUCGAGUGUGAAAUCCCCGGGCUUAACUUGGGAAUUGCGCUCGAAACUACGUGGCUGGAGUGUGGCAGAGGGAGGUGGAAUUCCCGUGUAGCGGUGAAUGCGUAGAGAUGUGGAGGACACCAAUGGCGAAGCAGCCUCUGGGCCACACUGACACUCAUGCACGAAGCGUGGGAGCAACNAGAUAAUACCUGGUAUCACGCCUAACAUGAU